Molecule: long non-coding RNA, 1455 nt
Filed under: Homo sapiens (human)
Lineage: Eukaryota; Metazoa; Chordata; Mammalia; Primates; Hominidae
Description: HSALNT0298304
Source: RNAcentral
GCGCAUGCGCAGCGCUGCUGGCCCGCUCUCUGAGGAGCUUUCAAUACUUUGGGGUCAAGUUUGAGGCAGUUGUAACUGUACUGAGUUUAGUUUUGCUAAUAAUGGUAUUCUACGUGUGUCAGCCUCGUGUGGACUUCUGUAAUGACUAAUGGAUAUGUUUAUAUCCUGAGCAUUUGCUGUAGGAAUUUUAAAUGCAAUCCCAAAACUCAAGAUUACCUUAUUUGGAGAAAUAUUCGUGUUACUAUGUUUAAAAUUUAAUAGAACCAUAUUUUACCUUUCACUUUGGGACUCGCACAGGAUGUUUGCAGCUCUUGAUAUACAGGAACUAGAACGUGUCUUUUAAGAGCAUGCGGUUUUAUAAUUACGUGGAAGUAUGCUACGCAAGGGAAAAAAGCCUCUUGCUAGUGUUAAGGGUCUUCAUAAACAGAAACCGCAAGGAACCUGGGAUCUGACAGCUGUUGGAGGAAUGCCUGUGAGGAAGGAGGAGGAACAGAAGAAUGCUUUGAUGUCUUAAAUGGUACAUCCAAACUUAAGUGAAAUAGAGCUGUGAGGACAUUUUGGGGAGAAGUGACCUAGAUAAGCACUGACUGUUGCAUUCAUCUCUCUUCUUGCUGAUUGUGAUGAUUUCCUGUGCCAUAGCCAUUCAAAGUCUGCCAAAAAAGGCCUUGCCUCCUGGAUGGCAUUUUUGAACCCACCCUGGGCCAGAGGGGAGCCCACUUCUUUGAAGACAGAAACACAGGACUGGCAACAUUUACCAUAAGCUGACUGAGCAGCCAUUGGGCCUUGAGUGAACAUUGGUGGUAGCCAGGCAGUACUUGUCUCAGUACUUGCCUCAGGCCUGGGGUGUCGGUGACCACAGGGAGAGCAUCCAUCUGCUUGAGGAAAGGAGAACAAAGAAAAUAAAGGGCUUAAUCUUGCACUUGAUUGCCAGCUCAGCCAUAGUAGAAUACAGCACCAAGUAAAUUCCUAAGGAUCCUGAUUCCAGGUCCUGGCUCCCAGAUGACAUUUUAGGACUUGUCUUGGGCUUAGGGGGAGCUCGUCAUACUGAAGGGAAAAACACAAGCCUGGCUGGAUUUGCCACCAGCUGAAUAAAGAGUGCUUGGGCCUUGAGUGAACAUUGGCAAUAGCCAAGGAGUGGUCACCAUGGACCUUAGGCAAGAAACCCGGUGCCGUGCUGGCUUUGGAUCUGACCCAGCAUAAUCUCACUGGUAUUUUACUUCUUGUCCAUUUACUUUUUAGUUUAUCAUACACACCAUGUUUACUAGUACUAAAACUGUCUUAAAAUAUUGCAAUUUUGACCCUUUUUCUAAUUGACCUUUAUGUUUUUACAAGCACAUUUUAUUACAUAUGAAUGAGACUUUACUAUGUUAUAUGUAACUCUUAAUUCUGUAAAUAAUAGAUUGCUUAUCUGAAAUAUAGCUGAUAUUUGUUUCUUAAUUAUUUGGCUAUUCCCUA